This 1432-nucleotide ribosomal RNA is filed under the name uncultured organism. Its description in RNAcentral is "SSU rRNA". It matches the Rfam family "Bacterial small subunit ribosomal RNA". The record is from RNAcentral.
GCUUAACACAUGCAAGUCGAGGGGCAGCAUGGUCUUAGCUUGCUAAGGCCGAUGGCGACCGGCGCACGGGUGAGUAACACGUAUCCAACCUGCCGUCUACUCUUGGACAGCCUUCUGAAAGGAAGAUUAAUACAAGAUGGCAUCAUGAGUCCGCAUGUUCACAUGAUUAAAGGUAUUCCGGUAGACGAUGGGGAUGCGUUCCAUUAGAUAGUAGGCGGGGUAACGGCCCACCUAGUCUUCGAUGGAUAGGGGUUCUGAGAGGAAGGUCCCCCACAUUGGAACUGAGACACGGUCCAAACUCCUACGGGAGGCAGCAGUGAGGAAUAUUGGUCAAUGGGCGAGAGCCUGAACCAGCCAAGUAGCGUGAAGGAUGACUGCCCUAUGGGUUGUAAACUUCUUUUAUAAAGGAAUAAAGUCGGGUAUGGAUACCCGUUUGCAUGUACUUUAUGAAUAAGGAUCGGCUAACUCCGUGCCAGCAGCCGCGGUAAUACGGAGGAUCCGAGCGUUAUCCGGAUUUAUUGGGUUUAAAGGGAGCGUAGAUGGAUGUUUAAGUCAGUUGUGAAAGUUUGCGGCUCAACCGUAAAAUUGCAGUUGAUACUGGAUAUCUUGAGUGCAGUUGAGGCAGGCGGAAUUCGUGGUGUAGCGGUGAAAUGCUUAGAUAUCACGAAGAACUCCGAUUGCGAAGGCAGCCUGCUAAGCUGCAACUGACAUUGAGGCUCGAAAGUGUGGGUAUCAAACAGGAUUAGAUACCCUGGUAGUCCACACGGUAAACGAUGAAUACUCGCUGUUUGCGAUAUACAGCAAGCGGCCAAGCGAAAGCGUUAAGUAUUCCACCUGGGGAGUACGCCGGCAACGGUGAAACUCAAAGGAAUUGACGGGGGCCCGCACAAGCGGAGGAACAUGUGGUUUAAUUCGAUGAUACGCGAGGAACCUUACCCGGGCUUAAAUUGCAGAUGAAUUACGGUGAAAGCCGUAAGCCGCAAGGCAUCUGUGAAGGUGCUGCAUGGUUGUCGUCAGCUCGUGCCGUGAGGUGUCGGCUUAAGCGCCAUAACGAGCGCAACCCUUGUUGUCAGUUACUAACAGGUUCCGCUGAGGACUCUGACAAGACUGCCAUCGUAAGAUGUGAGGAAGGUGGGGAUGACGUCAAAUCAGCACGGCCCUUACGUCCGGGGCUACACACGUGUUACAAUGGGGGGUACAGAGGGCCGCUACCACGCGAGUGGAUGCCAAUCCCCAAAACCUCUCUCAGUUCGGACUGGAGUCUGCAACCCGACUCCACGAAGCUGGAUUCGCUAGUAAUCGCGCAUCAGCCACGGCGCGGUGAAUACGUUCCCGGGCCUUGUACACACCGCCCGUCAAGCCAUGGGAGCCGGGGGUACCUGAAGUGCGUAACCGCGAGGAGCGCCCUAGGGUAAAACUGGUGACUGGGGCU